Molecule: ribosomal RNA, 253 nt
Filed under: uncultured bacterium
Lineage: Bacteria
Description: partial 16S ribosomal RNA
Rfam family: Bacterial small subunit ribosomal RNA
Source: RNAcentral
UACAGAGGGUGCAAGCGUUAAUCGGAAUUACUGGGCGUAAAGGGCGCGUAGGCGGUUAAAUAAGUGACUUGUGAAAGUCCUGGGCUUAACCUGGGGAUGGCAAGUCAUACUGUUUGGCUAGAGUCGUGUAGAGGGUAGUGGAAUUUCCGGUGUAGCGGUGAAAUGCGUAGAGAUCGGAAGGAACACCAGUGGCGAAGGCGGCUACCUGGACACAGACUGACGCUGAGGCGCGAAAGCGUGGGGAUCAAACAGG